Molecule: ribosomal RNA, 459 nt
Filed under: uncultured bacterium
Lineage: Bacteria
Description: partial 16S ribosomal RNA
Rfam family: Bacterial small subunit ribosomal RNA
Source: RNAcentral
CCUACGGGAGGCGCAGUGAGGAAUAUUGGUCAAUGGACGAGAGUCUGAACCAGCCAAGUAGCGUGAAGGAUGACUGCCCUAUGGGUUGUAAACUUCUUUUAUAUGGGAAUAAAACGUUCCACGUGUGGGGUUUUGUAUGUACCAUAUGAAUAAGGAUCGGCUAACUCCGUGCCAGCAGCCGCGGUAAUACGGAGGAUCCGAGCGUUAUCCGGAUUUAUUGGGUUUAAAGGGAGCGUAGGUGGGUUGUUAAGUCAGUUGUGAAAGUUUGCGGCGCAACCGUAAAAUUGCAGUUGAAACGGGCAGUCUUGAGUACAGUAGAGGUGGGCGGAAUGCGUGGUGUAGCGGUGAAAUGCUUAGAUAUCACGAAGAACUCCGAUUGCGAAGGCAGUUCACUGGACUGCAACUGACACUGAGGCUCGAAAGUGUGGGUAUCAAACAGGAUUAGAUACCCCAGUAGUC